This 71-nucleotide transfer RNA is filed under the name Synechococcaceae cyanobacterium RL_1_2. Its description in RNAcentral is "tRNA-Gly". It matches the Rfam family "tRNA". From Rfam's summary of the family: Transfer RNA (tRNA) molecules are approximately 80 nucleotides in length. Their secondary structure includes four short double-helical elements and three loops (D, anti-codon, and T loops). Lineage: Bacteria; Bacillati; Cyanobacteriota; Cyanophyceae; Synechococcales; Synechococcaceae. The record is from RNAcentral.
GCGGGUGUAGUUUAGUGGUAAAACCUCAGCCUUCCAAGCUGAUGAUAGGGGUUCGACUUCCCUCACCCGCU